This 401-nucleotide ribosomal RNA is filed under the name uncultured bacterium. RNAcentral's name for it is "bacterial SSU rRNA". It matches the Rfam family "Bacterial small subunit ribosomal RNA", at positions 28 to 422 of the family's 1533-position model. The record is from RNAcentral.
GACGAACGCUGGCGGCGCGCUUAACACAUGCAAGUCGAGCGAGAACCAGGGCUUCGGCCCUGGGGACAGCGGCGAACGGGUGAGUAACACGUGGAUAACCUGCCCUCGGCACCGGGAUAGCCCGGGGAAACUCGGAUUAAUACCGGAUAGCCCUUCCGACUCUCGAGUCGGUCCGAAAAGGUAGCUUCGGCCUCUGGCCGAGGAUGGGUCCGCGGCGGAUUAGCUUGUUGGUGGGGUAACGGCCUACCAAGGCUCCGAUCCGUAGCUGGUCUGAGAGGACGAUCAGCCACACUGGGACUGAGACACGGCCCAGACUCCUACGGGAGGCAGCAGUGGGGAAUCUUGCGCAAUGGGCGAAAGCCUGACGCAGCGACGCCGCGUGAGGGAUGACGGCCUGGUGU